AACGAACGCUGGCGGCAGGCCUAACACAUGCAAGUCGAGCGCCCCGCAAGGGGAGCGGCGGACGGGUGAGUAACGCGUGGGAACGUGCCCCUUUCUACGGAAUAGCCUCGGGAAACUGGGAGUAAUACCGUAUAAGCCCUACGGGGGAAAGAUUUAUCGGGAAGGGAUCGGCCCGCGUUGGAUUAGGUAGUUGGUGGGGUAAUGGCCUACCAAGCCGACGAUCCAUAGCUGGUUUGAGAGGAUGAUCAGCCACACUGGGACUGAGACACGGCCCAGACUCCUACGGGAGGCAGCAGUGGGGAAUCUUAGACAAUGGGCGCAAGCCUGAUCUAGCCAUGCCGCGUGAGCGAUGAAGGCCUUAGGGUUGUAAAGCUCUUUCAGUGGGGAAGAUAAUGACUGUACCCACAGAAGAAGCCCCGGCUAACUCCGUGCCAGCAGCCGCGGUAAAGUCUGUACU
RNAcentral lists this ribosomal RNA (457 nucleotides) under uncultured bacterium. RNAcentral's name for it is "bacterial SSU rRNA". It matches the Rfam family "Bacterial small subunit ribosomal RNA", at positions 29 to 531 of the family's 1533-position model. The record is from RNAcentral.